AUUUAAAUGAAUUCUGAUUGGUGACUUCUUUUUUUUUGUUGAGAAAAAUGAUGCUGUAACGCAGAAUUGUUAUACAUGAAACACAUAACUGCAAGAAUUUUGUGGACCUAUAAGUUUUUCCCUACAUAUAUGUUGAGUACGUUUUAUGGGUCUAUUAUUAGCAAUACCUUUUAUAUUAAUAUGCAGAUAUUUUUACAUUUUGUGGGAUACAAUCGCCGCAUAUAAUUAUAAAUUAAAUUUAUUCAAAUGGAAUUGAUGGACUUAGUGUGUUCAGAGAACUGUGAAUUAAUGCAUAUGUACAGUAACAGAAGUAAACAUUUGGGGUGCCUACCAUUUUAUUAUAUUCCAAAUAUAUUUUUAAUUCAGAAGUCUUUCGUUAGUGGCAGUCACAAAUGUGUCAAUGAGAAAUUUUUGGAAAUUUUAUGGAAACCGUCAGGUCAUUGCCUUAGGGUUACACACUCUCUCGUACUUUAUCAACAAUAUACAAUAUAAGGAGUGCAAAAGAGUAGUGCUGCACAUUCCGAUAGAUGGCUUCAUAUUUUUCUAUGAGAAAUAAUCGUCGCACUUUCAAUAUUUAAAUUUAAAGUUCAAAAUUUAUAACACGGCACCUAGCGACUUUAUGAGGAACCUGAUAUGCAAUAAAUAAAAUUUCAAUAGAAGUGUCAUAUAAAAUUCACAACAUUCUUGGCGUGCCCAGUUUCUCUAUAUCAGGAAGAAUCUUAAGUCGUUUAUUGUCUCACAAGCUUAUUUACGUUACAUUUCUUCGAAAUUCUCACCAACCACCUCUGUAUGAAAGACAUUGCAGUGAUCCGGCAAAAAGAAGGAGAACACAAUUUUCAAU
Long non-coding RNA from Condylostylus longicornis, 841 nucleotides. RefSeq lists it as uncharacterized. The record is from RefSeq and is a predicted model, not a curated record. Lineage: Eukaryota; Metazoa; Arthropoda; Insecta; Diptera; Dolichopodidae. The transcript has 6 exons.